Molecule: ribosomal RNA, 253 nt
Filed under: uncultured bacterium
Lineage: Bacteria
Description: partial 16S ribosomal RNA
Rfam family: Bacterial small subunit ribosomal RNA
Source: RNAcentral
UACAGAGGGUGCAAGCGUUGUUCGGAAUUAUUGGGCGUAAAGCGCGUGUAGGCGGCUAAGUAAGUCGGGCGUGAAAUCCCACGGCUCAACCGUGGAAGUGCACUCGAAACUGCAUAGCUAGAGUCCUGGAGAGGAAGGUGGAAUGCUUGGUGUAGAGGUGAAAUUCGUAGAUAUCAAGCGGAACACCGGUGGCGAAGGCGGCCUUCUGGACAGUGACUGAUGCUGAGACGCGAAAGCGUGGGGAGUAAACAGG